RNAcentral lists this ribosomal RNA (1349 nucleotides) under metagenome. RNAcentral describes it as "bacterial LSU rRNA". It matches the Rfam family "Bacterial large subunit ribosomal RNA", at positions 1598 to 2925 of the family's 2925-position model. The record is from RNAcentral.
CCCUAUGCUGCCGAGAAAAGCCUCUAGUGAGUGUUGUGGCGGCCCGUACCCUAAACCGACUCAGGUGGUCAGGUAGAGAAUACCAAGGCGAUCGGGUGAACUGUGGUUAAGGAACUCGGCAAAUUGCCCCCGUAACUUCGGGAGAAGGGGGACCUCUGCUGGUGAUGGGCUUUACGUUCUGAGCUGGUGGGGGUUGCAGUGGCCAGGGGGAAGCGACUGUUUACUAAAAACACAGGUCCGUGCGAAGUCGUAAGACGAUGUAUACGGACUGACGCCUGCCCGGUGCCGGAACGUUAAGGGGACCGCUUAGCCAACGCGAGUUGGCGAAGGUGAGAACUUAAGCGCCGGUAAACGGCGGUGGUAACUAUAACCAUCCUAAGGUAGCGAAAUUCCUUGUCGGGUAAGUUCCGACCUGCACGAAUGGCGUAACGACUUCCCCGCUGUCUCAACCACAGACCCGGCGAAAUUGCACUACGAGUAAAGAUGCUCGUUUCGCGCAGCAGGACGGAAAGACCCCGGGACCUUCACUACAGCUUGACAUUGGCGUUUGGAACGUCUUGUGUAGGAUAGGUGGGAGACUGGGAAGCUGUCACGCUAGUGAUGGUGGAGUCAUUGGUGAAAUACCACUCUGGUCGUUUUGAACGUCUAACUCUGGUCCGUGAUCCGGAUCGGGGACAGUGUCUGGUGGGUAGUUUAACUGGGGCGGUUGCCUCCUAAAGAGUAACGGAGGCGCCCAAAGGUUCCCUCAGCCUGGUUGGCAAUCAGGUGUUGAGUGUAAGUGCACAAGGGAGCUUGACUGUGAGACUGACAGGUCGAGCAGGAGCGAAAGCUGGGACUAGUGAUCCGGCAUCGGCGUGUGGAAGCGGUGUCGCUCAACGGCUAAAAGGUACCCCGGGGAUAACAGGCUGAUCUUCCCCAAGAGUCCAUAUCGACGGGAUGGUUUGGCACCUCGAUGUCGGCUCGUCGCAUCCUGGGGCUGGAGUAGGUCCCAAGGGUUGGGCUGUUCGCCCAUUAAAGCGGUACGCGAGCUGGGUUUAGAACGUCGCGAGACAGUUCGGUCCCUAUCCGCUGCGCGCGCAGGAGACUUGAAGGGGGCUGUCCCUAGUACGAGAGGACCGGGACGGACGAACCUCUGGUGUGCCAGUUGUACCGCCAGGUGCACGGCUGGUUGGCUACGUACGGAAGGGACAACCGCUGAAAGCAUCUAAGCGGGAAGCUCGCCUUGAGAUGAGGUCUCCCACCCCGUGAGGGGGUAAGGCUCCCGGUAGAUCACCGGGUUGAUAGGCCGGAGGUGGAAGCACGGUAACGUGUGGAGCUGACCGGUACUAAUAGGCCGAGGACUUGACCAC